Molecule: long non-coding RNA, 532 nt
Filed under: Phoenix dactylifera (date palm)
Lineage: Eukaryota; Viridiplantae; Streptophyta; Magnoliopsida; Arecales; Arecaceae
Description: long non-coding RNA (PDAC_LNC021246)
Source: RNAcentral
CACUCGAUCACAUAGGGAAAAAAAUAUUGUAAAGUUAGAAUGGUUUAAUGUUACCCUCAGGAUUUUCUUUUCUUUUUCUUUUGUUUGUGAGGUACAAUGGUGUCCAAGUCAUACUAAAAAAUACUAGAAGAUGUUUGUCAAGGACUGGUGUAAUUUAAGUAAUUGAGAUCUCUGAGCUGCAUGAUAUGUAGUAAAAUUGACCAUUCUAUACUAAGUGGAUGGUGAUUAAAAUAACUGCUGUCUUUGCCAUAUAGUACCUUCUCUCAAUUUGGAUAAGGAAAUGACGUGGUUAUUUUAAAUUUCAAAUAGGCUUCACAAGAUCUGUACGACUUUAUUCAUUCAAAAUUGCCAUAAAUUCAUUAUUUUAGUUCCUUUUGGUUAACAUAGAGGAUAACAUAUGUUCCUCCAAUCCUAUAUUUUUGUGUUGGACUAGUUGAUCUUGUUAGUUAUAAGUGUUAAAUAUGCCUGCCAUAUUCUUUCUUCUUGUCUAAGACUGCUAUAAAGUUGCUCCAUGACUGAUGUAUUGUCAUGC